This is a long non-coding RNA of Solanum pennellii, 6225 nucleotides long. RefSeq lists it as uncharacterized. The transcript has 2 exons. NCBI's taxonomy places the organism in Eukaryota, Viridiplantae, Streptophyta, Magnoliopsida, Solanales, Solanaceae. The record is from RefSeq and is a predicted model, not a curated record.
UGUGAUUGCAGGGGAUUGGGUGUGGAACAACACUAAACUCCAAUUGGAUUGGUGGUUGGCAACAAUAGCGGCCAUAAACAGAGAGAACGGACCCUCUUCAACCUGGAUCAAAAUUGUUGGUCUCCCACUGCAUCUAUGGUCAUAAAUGACUUUCAAAGACAUUGCGGGGGUUGGGUCGAAAUGGAGGAAGAGACACAACUAAGAAAUCACCUUAAAUUGGCUAGAAUCAGGCUUGAAGGUGACAGUUCAAGGAUUUCAAAGGAGGUGAAAAUCUUGAAUGUCAGAAUUUUCUUCACCUUGCAGUUGUGGACAAAUUUUCCGACUAGAUUCACUAUCGAAGAAUAUGGUGAGUCGGUCUCUUUAACCAGCAGUCCUCGUGGAUUUAUCAAGAGGUUAAUAGAGGGGUUGAUGAGGUUGCCAACCUUUUACCGGGGGGAGGAGAAAAAGCAAGGGGUAUGGUCCCCCUUCAAAUUUAAUUUUGAAGUCAAAUGGAGGCCAACUUUUGUUUUUGUCUUCUUCAGACCAAGGCCCAAAACACAAUAAAUCACAAAUUCACCCAAGACCAAUGGAGAAUUGAAAAGUCCAAGAGCCCCAAGGUCUGCUCAUGUGAGAAGGACGUGGAGGGGGGAAAAGGCCUUAGAGGUCUUUUCAAGAAUUAGGAAAAAGAGAUUUAACAAGAGGAGGAAGAUACAAUGCGGCAAAAAGAAGGGAAAGAAAGGAUUUUCUCCAACACCCAAGAGUGGGUUCGCGAAACUCAACCUCAUGAAGCUGAAAUCCCCAAUAAAGGAAGAGAACAUGUGCAAGAGACAGAUAAGGAUAUGCAGACUCAACAAUUACAUGACGCUGAUCCAGUCAAUAUGCAAAUUACUCUUUCUCAAGAAGCUAUCGAUAUGAAAGCAUCAAAUUGGGUUAACUCUCAUAUCUUAGAGCUAAGAAAUACUUAUGGGUUAGCUUUCGAAUUAUUUGAAAAGGAAACUAUACUUUUGUUAAUGAAUAUUGAUGAGAGAAAAUCAUUGGUAGAUAACAGGAGGCCUAAUUUGGUAGCGUCUACUCCAAAGAGCAGGGGAAUUGGCAAAAAUGAAUUGAAAAACCUUAAAUCCAGUCUUAAUGAAGAAGUGGAAGGUAACAGGGGGAGAAAUUUUUGUUUAACUUUUAAAUGAAAGUUAACCUAUUAACAUGGAAUUUAAAGGGAUUAAAUGACCAAAUCAAGAGAACAGUGGGGAAGAGUCCAAUGUGAAAAUGGAUUUUUACUGUUUUCAAGAAACAAAGCUCAACAAGGAGGUUGAAGUAAUUGCUAAGCAAUUAUGGUCAUUUCGGUGGAUGAAAUGUGGUUAUCUAAAAGUUGUGGGUACUAGUUGGGGGGGGGGGUUCCUCAUGAUGUGGGACAGUAGAAGCUGGAUUGAGACUUUAGUUGAGGCUGGUAAAUAUUCCAUCACUUAUGAGUUUGUUUCAACUCAUAACCUCUAUACUUGGUACCUUACUGAAGUGUAUGCUCCUCAUACCAGAAUGAGAAGUUAAUAUGUUGGGAGGAACUGGUUAUUGUUAAAACCAUUUAUGAUGGUCCUUGGGUCACAUGUCGAGACUUUAACACACAAUACUAUGGAAGAAAUAAAAGGAUGUAACAUAAUAUUUUUUUUGUCUGAUUACUCAACAUGGAUACAUGAGAUGGAAUUACAUGACCCCAACUACAUGGUGGAGUUUUUACAUGGUUCAGAGGCCUUAAUCACUCAAGUGCAUCGAGGCUAGACAGAUUCCUAUUCUUUAUGGCAUGGGAAGAAAAAUUCAAAAAUAUCAAUCAAAAGGUACUAUCUAGAGUCCUCUUUGAUCACUGCCCUAUCAUGUUAGAAUGUGGAACCUGGGAGAAGAAAAGGUCAAACUUCAAGUUCGAAAACUGGUGGCUUAAGGUGGAAGGUUUUACUGAAUUGAUCCAAGUAUGAUGGAAGGAUAUCCAGACUAUAGACUCAAUGUUAAGCUAAAAAUGCUUAAGGAAAAAUUCAAAAAAUGGAGCAAAGCUAACUUUGGGAAGAUAGUAAACAAGAAGAAAAACUUGCUGGAAAAACUGGCUGAAAUUGAUGAGUUAAAGGGAACAAGAGAUUUGACUGAAGAUGAAAUAAUGAUAAGAGCAACCAUAGUAGUGGAGUUGGAAGAGCUGAAAAAAAAUUGAAGAAUCAAGGUGGAGACAAAAAUCUAGAGUAUUAUGGCUGAAACAAGGGGAUAAUAAUACAAGGUGUUUUCGUAAGAUUGGCAACAUCACACAGGAGGAGCAACAUCAUUGACAGGUUGACAGACAAGGGAGAGAUCGUAGAAGACCUUAUAGAAAUCAGAACACUAUGAUUGAUUUUUAUAAGAAGCUCUAUACUGAAAACUGGAGACUUCGAUUUGAUUUCCUAGGUUGUCCAACUAUAACUCAGGAAGGAAAAACUUGGAUUUAAAGACCUUAAUUUGUGGAGUAGGUGUUGGGAUGCUUAAAACAAUGUGAUGAAGAUAAAGCUCCAGGUCCUGAUGGUUUCACAAUUAGUUUCUUGAAUUCAUGUUGGGGAACAUUGAAGGAGGAUCUGAUGUUGACCAUUUAAAAUUUUCACCAAAAUGAAGUCUUUGAAAAAAGCUUUUAAUACUUUGAUAGCAUUGAUUCCUAAAAAAUCUAGGGCGGAGGAAUUAAAAGAUUUCAGACCUAUUAGCUUGAUAGGGAGAGUAUUAGAUUAUUUCCAAACUAAUCACUGAAAGGUUGAAGACAGUGAUUGGGAGAUUGGUUGAUGUACACCAAAUGGCUUUUUAAAAGGAAUGUAAAUUAUGGAUGCCUCACUUAUUGGUAAUGAAUUGGUGGACUUCAAAGUCAAAUUAAACAAAAAAAAUGGCUGGUAACUGGUGUAAUUUGGAUGUAGAAAAGGCAUAUAAUCAUGUUGAUUGGUCUUUUCUGCCUAAAUCUUGAAGGACAUGGGUUUAGGGAGGAAGUGUCUUAACUGGAUAAGCUUCUGCAUAUCCACAGUUAAGUUCUCACUAAUUAUAAAUGGAAACUCUGAAGGUUUCUUCCAAUCUCAAAGGGGGUUAAGGUAGGGGGACCCUCUUUCACCCUUCCUAUCCAUUCUAGCCAUGAAAGGCCUCAAGCACAUGAUUAAGAGAGCAAAUGUCAAUGGAUGGUUAAGAGGUUUUAAAGCUCAAAUACAGGGGAGCAUGGAGAAUGAGGUGGGGCUUACUCAUUUACUUUAUGCAGAUGAUUCUCUGAUUUUGUGUGAGGCUGAGGUGACACAAAUCAUACACAUCAUAGCUAUUCUCACUCUUUUUGAAGGUGUCCCUGGGCUACAUGUUGAUUGACAAAAGAGUUUGCUCUCCAGUCAACCAUAUAAGCAACAGGUAACUGGUAGCUAGCAAUCUUGGUUGCCAAAUAACUACUUUACCCACAUAGUAUUUGGGCAUGCCUUUGGGAGCACAAAACAAGGACAUAGGACUGUGGAAUGAUGUUCUAAAGAGAUGUGACAGGAAACUUGGAAGGUGGAAAAUUCCUUACCUCUCUUUGGGAGGGAUUGACCCUAGUCAAGUAAAUCCUCUCCCGUCAUACAGGAUGAGGCUUUUCCCUAGUCCAAAGAUUAUUGAGAAAAAGAUCAACAAACUUAGAAGAUCUUUUCUUUGGGACAGAAACAGAGAAAAUAGACGUUAUAACAAGCUAGUCAAGUGGGAUAUUGUAACAAUUAGUAGGAAGCACGGGGGAUUGGACAUAAAAAAGCUAAGCCUCCUUCCUUCUGCAGAAAUGGUAGUGGAGAUUCUGCACUCAAGAGAGUAAUCAUUGAAAAAUAUGGACUACAAAGUCAUUGGUCUACUGAGGAGGUUCCGGGAAUUCUAGUGUGUAGUGUUUGGAAGACGAUUAGAAGACUAUGGCCAGGGUUCAAGGAUAACAUCUCACUUAAGGUGGGAAAUGGCUGGAAAAUUGACUUCUGAAAUGAUUUAUGGAUUGGAGAAGAAUUCCUUGCAACUCUAUUUCUAGAUUUACUUAUACUCCAGCCAAUAGAAAAAGGACACAAUUUCUCAGAUGUGGAGCCCUCAGGGAUGAAAUUUCUUGUUUAGAAGAGCCCUCAAUGAUUGGGGAUGGAGAGAAUCAUUGCUCUAUUUCAUAUCCUAAAUACCUUCCCAGGAACCUCCAAUGAGCUUGGCAAGCCUAUAUGGAAAUUACAGAGGAAAGGAGUGUUCACAGUGAAGUCUUGCUACUGGAGUAUCAAUGAUGGUCAAAGAUGAAAUACAACUUGGCCUUGGAAACUAAUUUAAGAUACAAUUACCUCUAAAGGUCUCAUGUUUUGCUUGGUUGGUGUGUAGAAGGGCAUGUCUAACACAUGAAGUGCUUCAGAAAAAAAGGAAGACAAAUUUGUUUAAGAUGUUUUAUGUGUGAUCAAGAUGCUGAAGUCAAUGCACAUUUUUUCCUCCACUGCAAGGUGGCAGCUACCGACAUAUGGAACAUGUGUUUUUUUUGCAACCUUGGUGUAUGCUGGGCAACUCCAAAAACCACUAAGGAUAUGCUAGACUGCUGAAAUGAGAUAGGAAGAAGACAUUUACUGAAGACUGGUGGAAGUUAAUACCAGCUUGCAUUUGGUGGACUCUACAGAAAGAAAGGAUUUCUAGAUGUUUUGGGACAAGUGUAACAACAUCGAUAAGAUAAGGAUGAAUAGCCUUAGUCUUUUAUACUUUUGGUGUAAACAGGAUAUGAUGAGGGAUAUAAAACUUUUUUUGUUGAUUUCAUGAGCAAUUUGUAAUCUCCCUACGGGUAGGUUUUGUUAUGCUCUAAUGAGAUUGUAAGUAACUUAUGACUUUGGUAAAUACACAAUUACCCUUAUCUCAAAAAAAUUGUUUGUUACAGAUUUCCUAUUUAUUGGUUAAGAUUGGUAAUAUGUUGCUACAAAUGACUCAUUUGUUCCAACAUAUAUGUAAGUCACCUUGAAAGACUAUCUUACAAACUCAUAUUUUUUAUUAUAGGUUGUGCAUCCAUGUCUUGUCCCAACAGAAAAAGAGUUGCAAAUAUCAUUCCUUGUUGCUCAAGCAUUUGAUGAGACACUAUUUGAUCCUAUGGUGGUUAGAGUUAAAUGGGAAUUGUUGGAACAAGAACCAUCAAAAGAGAAAAAGUUGAUGCUGGUCAACUUGUUGUUUUUGAUGAGGAUAUGAUUAAUGCAGCUGUAAGGGCUAGUGUUUGUGCUGAAAAAAGUGGUAAGAAGAAAAAUCAUUGGUGUUUGUGGUUCUGAAAGAAUGUUGAUACCAUUUUGUGGGGCUGAAAGAAGUGUUGGGGCUACCACUUGUAAUAAAUGUUCUGGCUUUCAAUGUUGUAAGUGCUAGACAAAAGAUGAUGAUGUUGUCAGGUGUCUUCAAACAUUGAACCGAGGCUGUGAAAGAAUUGACAUCCAAGAGGACGGGAUCCAUGUACUCCACAUGCUAAGAGGAGAAGAAAAUUGUUUGGCAAGGCAAUAUCAAAUAUGGAAAAAAAUUUAUUGGAUAAUUGUCAAUGACCGUAAGAGAGAAGUUGGUGCUUAAGAAGGUGAAUAUUUACAAGUUCGUGCCUUCAGCUAUAAAAGGCUACUUUGUUGGCACUGAUGGAAACAAAUGAUCACGAGUUCUACUCCAUGCAUUAUCUUGAUGAAAAUAGUUUUAAGAACAUGACUAGUAUGAAUGUUUGGUGGGAGGACUUGGAUAGGAUCAUGGAUCUCAACGAUCUAUCGUUACCUUCAUAAACAAAUUCAAGAUUAUGAGCGAGGAAACAACAACAGAUGGUGGCAGAACCUUUAAGCAGUUACUUGCUGAGUUUGUACGGCAAGAGGAUGUCGUUGAAGGGAAGAGACCAGGUCCUGGUGGCAUGGAUUGGAUAGGGGCAAAGAGGAUUCUUGCAGUCAUGAACUCAGGGAAAAAACAUUUUGUGGCUCUUGAUAUCCUCUGGAACAAGGGAGUCAUUAAUGUUUAUGACUGCAACAUUGGUUAGCUAUUAAUAACUUUAAACUGGUGUAAUAAUAUAGUUAAAACAGGUGAUGACUUGGUUUAUAUAAUUUAGCAGAAAAAAAUAUGUAUUCUAUCAUUGAGAGUGCUACACUGCCUCUCUUAUGACCAGAAUUAAUUAUAUAGCUAGAUAUAGAUUUUCAAUGGUGUGUAGUAGCCCCAAUUUGUUGGUUUGGGCUGCUUAAAUGAUUUCCUGGAAUUGUUUAGUAAUUUGUCAAGUGUUUCUAUUACUGAAUGAAUAUCAAUGCUGUUUUGUUUCUU